AAAGGAAUUGACGGGCACCCGAACAAGCGGUGGAGCAUGCUGUUUAAUUCGAAGAUACGCGAAGAACCUUACCUAGACUUGACAUCCCGGGCAAAGCUAUAGAGAUAUAGUGGAGGUUAUCCCGGUGACAGGUGGUGCAUGGUUGUCGUCAGCUCGUGUCGUGAGAUGUUCGGUUAAGUCCGAUAACGAGCGCAACCCUUAUCAUUAGUUGCUAACAUUUAGUUGAGAACUCUAAUGAGACUGCCGGUGAUAAACCGGAGGAAGGCGGGGAUGACGUCAAAUCAUCAUGCCCCUUACGUCUAGGGCUACAGGCGUGCUACAAUGGCCGGUACAAAAAGACGCAAUACCGCGAGGUGGAGCAAAUCUCUAAAACCGGUCUCAGUUCGGAUUGGAGUCUGCAACUCGACUCCAUGAAGUUGGAAUCGCUAGUAAUCCUGAAUCAGAAUGUCAGGGUGAAUACGUUCCCGGGUGUUGUACACACCGCCCGU
RNAcentral lists this ribosomal RNA (488 nucleotides) under uncultured bacterium. Its description in RNAcentral is "bacterial SSU rRNA". It matches the Rfam family "Bacterial small subunit ribosomal RNA", at positions 903 to 1397 of the family's 1533-position model. The record is from RNAcentral.